CCUACGGGAGGCAGCAGUGGGGAAUAUUGGACAAUGGGGGGAACCCUGAUCCAGCGACGCCGCGUGAGUGAAGAAGUAUUUCGGUAUGUAAAGCUCUAUCAGCAGGGAAGAAAGAAAUGACGGUACCUGACUAAGAAGCCCCGGCUAACUACGUGCCAGCAGCCGCGGUAAUACGUAGGGGGCAAGCGUUAUCCGGAUUUACUGGGUGGAAAGGGAGCGUAGACGGCGAUGCAAGUAUGAAGUGAAAGGCGGGGGCCCAACCCCCGGACUGCUUGGGAAACUGGUUGGCGGGAGUGCAGGAGAGGUAGGUGGAAUGCGGGGGGGAGCGGUGAAAGGCAUAGAUAUAAGGAAGAACACCGAGGGCGAAGGCGGUUUACUGGACUGUAACUGACGUUGAGGCUCGAAAGCGUGGGGAGCAAACAGGAUUAGAUACCCGGGUAGUC
Molecule: ribosomal RNA, 443 nt
Filed under: uncultured bacterium
Lineage: Bacteria
Description: partial 16S ribosomal RNA
Rfam family: Bacterial small subunit ribosomal RNA
Source: RNAcentral